This 506-nucleotide ribosomal RNA is filed under the name uncultured bacterium. RNAcentral describes it as "partial 16S ribosomal RNA". It matches the Rfam family "Bacterial small subunit ribosomal RNA", at positions 29 to 523 of the family's 1533-position model. The record is from RNAcentral.
AGUGAACGCUAGCGGUAGGCCUAACACAUGCAAGUCGAACGGCAGCACAGAGGAGCUUGCUCCUUGGGUGGCGAGUGGCGGACGGGUGAGGAAUACAUCGGAAUCUACUCUGUCGUGGGGGAUAACGUAGGGAAACUUACGCUAAUACCGCAUACGACCUACGGGUGAAAGCAGGGGACCUUCGGGCCUUGCGCGAUUGAAUGAGCCGAUGUCGGAUUAGCUAGUUGGCGGGGUAAAGGGCCACCAAGGCGCCGAGCCGUAGCUGGUCUGAGAGGAUGAUCAGCCACACUGGAACUGAGACACGGUCCAGACUCCUACGGGAGGCAGCAGUGGGGAAUAUUGGACAAUGGGCGCAAGCCUGAUCCAGCCAUACCGCGUGGGUGAAGAAGGCCUUCGGGUUGUAAAGCCCUUUUGUUGGGAAAGAAAUCCAGCUGGCUAAUACCCGGUUGGGAUGACGGUACCCAAAGAAUAAGCACCGGCUAACUUCGUGCCAGCAGCCGCCGCCG